UAGAAAGUGGUGUAGUGGAAGCACUGAGGGUUUUGAUCUCUCCGGGUAGGGUUCAAACCCCUUCUUUCUA
RNAcentral lists this transfer RNA (70 nucleotides) under Dicrossus filamentosus (checkerboard dwarf cichlid). RNAcentral's name for it is "tRNA-Gln". It matches the Rfam family "tRNA". From Rfam's summary of the family: Transfer RNA (tRNA) molecules are approximately 80 nucleotides in length. Their secondary structure includes four short double-helical elements and three loops (D, anti-codon, and T loops). Lineage: Eukaryota; Metazoa; Chordata; Actinopteri; Cichliformes; Cichlidae. The record is from RNAcentral.